RNAcentral lists this ribosomal RNA (468 nucleotides) under uncultured bacterium. RNAcentral's name for it is "partial 16S ribosomal RNA". It matches the Rfam family "Bacterial small subunit ribosomal RNA", at positions 28 to 507 of the family's 1533-position model. The record is from RNAcentral.
GACGAACGCUGGCGGCGUGCUUAACACAUGCAAGUCGAACGGAAAGGCCCUGCUUUUGUGGGGUGCUCGAGUGGCGAACGGGUGAGUAACACGUGAGUAACCUGCCCUUGACUUUGGGAUAACUUCAGGAAACUGGGGCUAAUACCGGAUAGGAGCUACUGCUGCAUGGUGGGGGUUGGUAAGUUUCGGCGGUUGGGGAUGGUCUCGCGGCUUAUCCGCUUGUUGGUGAGGUAGUGGCUUACCAAGGCUUUGACGGGUAGCCGGCCUGAGAGGGUGACCGGGGACAAUGGGACUAAGAGACGGCCCAGAAUGCAACGGGAGGCAGCAGUGGGGAAUAUUGCACAAUGGGCGGAAGCCAGAUGCAGCAACGCCGGGUGCGGGAUGACGGCCUUCGGGUGAUAAACCGCUUUCGCCGGUGACGAAGCGUGAGUGACGGUAAUGAGUAAAGAAGCACCGGCUAACUACGUG